AGAGUCAUACAGAACAAGCCUGGAGUGACAGGACAAGGUAGAAUAGCUUCAAACUGGGAGGGAGUAGGUUUAGAUUAGAUAUUAGGAAGAAAUUCUUUUCU
Molecule: non-coding RNA, 101 nt
Organism: Sturnus vulgaris (Common starling)
Lineage: Eukaryota; Metazoa; Chordata; Aves; Passeriformes; Sturnidae
Source: RefSeq, a predicted model, not a curated record